RNAcentral lists this ribosomal RNA (445 nucleotides) under uncultured bacterium. RNAcentral's name for it is "partial 16S ribosomal RNA". It matches the Rfam family "Bacterial small subunit ribosomal RNA", at positions 354 to 796 of the family's 1533-position model. The record is from RNAcentral.
GUAGGGAAUAUUGGGCAAUGGAGGCAACUCUGACCCAGCCAUGCCGCGUGCAGGAUGACGGCCCUCUGGGUUGUAAACUGCUUUUAUACGGGAAGAAAAAAUACUACGUGUAGUAUACUGACGGUACCGUAAGAAUAAGGAUCGGCUAACUCCGUGCCAGCAGCCGCGGUAAUACGGAGGAUCCAAGCGUUGUCCGGAUUUAUUGGGUUGAAAGGGUGCGUAGGCGGAUCGUUAAGUCAGUGGUGAAAGCCUGCAGCUUAACUGUAGAAUUGCCAUUGAAACUGAAGAUCUUGAAUGUGGUUAAAGUAGGCGGAAUGUAUCAUGUAGCGGUGAAAUGCUUAGAUAUGAUACAGAACACCGAUAGCGAAGGCAGCUUGCUGAACCAUUAUUGACGCUGAGGCACGAAAGCGUGGGGAGCGAACAGGAUUAGAUACCCGAGUAGUCC